Molecule: small RNA, 101 nt
Filed under: Mytilus galloprovincialis (Mediterranean mussel)
Lineage: Eukaryota; Metazoa; Mollusca; Bivalvia; Mytilida; Mytilidae
Source: RNAcentral
CACAGCACGAGAUGACCCAAUAACCCGAACUCCUACGUCGUUCGGGUUAUUGGGUCAUCUCGUGCUACGUCGUUCGGGUUAUUGGGUCAUCUCGUGCUGUG